This is a non-coding RNA of Malus domestica (apple), 2681 nucleotides long. NCBI's taxonomy places the organism in Eukaryota, Viridiplantae, Streptophyta, Magnoliopsida, Rosales, Rosaceae. The record is from RefSeq and is a predicted model, not a curated record.
CGGCGGGACAUGACUCAACGACACAAAGAUGAGUCCCCAACCUUUCGGGGCGACCGAUGAUUUAGCAGUCCAAACACUAGCCCUUCAAAAGCAUAAUCCAACACGGUGCCAGUCUGCCAGAGUUUCUCCAUUGGCUCCAUUGAAGACGACGGUAACUUCCCCACCAUGGCAGAAGAAUAUCCAUGGAAUUUAUUCCUGCUCCCCACUGUGAAAGCUUAAAAAUACAGAGUAAAAAAAUGGAAGAAAACUUUGCCAGAACUCCGAACCAAGCUUGCCAUUGGCCAACCAAUCAAAAUCCCUUUUGGGGUUUAUUCGUAUACCGAUUUCCAACUGCUAAAUCAUUCCACAAUCUUCCUUUAAAUAGCAUCUUCAAUUUUCACCACCAUAACAUUCAAAAGAAAGCUUCAAAUUGGUGUUGUGUGUGUAAUAUUCUGUAAAUGGCGAGCCCUCUGACGCCAUCCCACGUUGUCAUCGCCUAUGACGCCACCAAGGACCGCGGCGUGCAUGAGCUUACACUCGCAGUUGACAGUCUCCAGAAGAGGGGUGACGUUUUGCAUUCAGGGGAUACCAUCAUUAUGCUUGGAGUUUUGCACAAGGUAGUCCACCCCAUGGGCUUUCACAUAAAACCAUGCGCAGAUUUUUUGGAAACCAGCAUUCGUGCAGUGGAGGAAGAAGUUACAAAGAAAGUUGACAUGUAUGUUAGCAUGCUUCUUGAAAGUGCGAGAAAGUGUGAAGAUCAAGGGGUCAGCAUUGAAGUCAAAGUUACUGCUGGUUUUCCCGUUAAGCAGGUUAUUUUGCAAGAGAUUAUGGCCUGCAAUGCAGCUUGGGUUAUACUUGAUAGGCACCUUAGACGGGAUAUGAGGUUCUACCUUAAGAAGAUACCAUGCAAGGUUGCAAUAAUACAAGAUAGUUUGGCUGUGGAUGUUGUAAGACCUCAUACAACGGAUGACACUGAUACCAUGGAACACAAAUUGUUUUUUUCAUUGUCCAAGCCUGUUCCACUAUCCAAUUAUCAAUCUAACAGAAACAAUGAACAGCCACUCAGUGAUUCACCUGAAAGUUCUGAUAUUCAGAAAACCUAUUUGACUUCACCUACAGUUAAGUUACGAGACUAUGGUUCUUUAUUGAAUCUAGGGUCUUCCCCUACUCAAGAAAAUUCAGGUGUAAAAACCAAAGCAGACGAUAAACACUCCAUAGUUCCUCAAAAAAUCCAGAAGCAAAAUAACGCCUUCCGAGGAAGAUGCUCAGAUGCCCCAAUUCUGUGUUCCAUAUGUGGAACACGGACUGAAAUGUAUGUCAAGAAUUCUAUGACAUUCAGCUACUCAGAGAUACAGCUUGCAACAAAUGAUUUUUCCAAGGAAAAUUUAUUGGGAGAAGGCGGAUAUGGUCAUGUGUAUAAAGGUGAGUUUAAGGACGGACAGCAGAUUGCAGCAAAGGUGCAGAAAGAAGCAAGUACACAAGAAUUUACAGAAUUUCACUCUGAGGUCUAUGUCUUGAGUUUUGCACGCCAUAAGAACAUUGUCAUGCUGUUGGGUUAUUGUUGCAAGGAGAACCUAAAUAUAUUGGUUUAUGAAUAUAUUUGCCACAAGUCUCUUGAAUGGCACUUAUUUGAUGAAAAGGCAGCAGUUCUUGAGUGGCACCAAAGACAGGAAAUCGCCAUUGGAACUGCGAAGGGAUUGCGUUUCCUCCACGAAGAAUGUCGUGGAAGUCCUAUAAUUCACCGAGACACGCGACCAAGCAAUAUACUGCUAACACAUGAUUACGUUCCAAUGUUAGGUGAUUUUGGCUUCGCCAAAUGGAAGACGGCGAGUAAUGACACUGACCAGACAAGGAUAAUUGGCACACUAGGCUACCUUGCUCCAGAGUAUGCAGAGAACGGUAUUGUUUCUGUACGGACAGAUGUAUAUGCCUUUGGCAUGGUUCUGUUACAACUCGUAACUGGCCGCAAGAUUGUUGAUUCAAACGGAGAAGGGCAAGCUCAAUCCCUACGGGAGUGGGUAUGUUGGGCUUCAAGAUGUGUUUUUACAUCUUAUUUUAUACUCACUGGCAGAACCAAUAAUCCAGAGGCUGGCACUACAUGAACUCAUUGAUCGUCGUCUAGGAGAUUCAUAUGACACAUAUGAAGUGUACCUCAUGGCUAAAGCCGCAUUCUUAUGUGUACAAAGAAAUCCUGAAAUGCGUCCAUCAAUGCAAGAGGUUGUCCGCGUUCUUGAAGGUGAAAAUGACAAUUACCACCACCUAGGAGAGCACUUUGCACCUCAAUAUCUCACAAAGUGAAGGAUCCAGCGGCACAGUUUAUUUUCAUUUCGAAGAUGUUCGCAGUAGCUUCUUGAAGGGAAAAAUUACCAUUUCUGCAUCCUAGGAUAGCAAUUCUACCUCGACGAAGACAAUGGCACACUAAACUUUCGUUUGACGGCUGAGGUUAUUGUUUUUUUCUUGUUUUUCUUGAAGGUGGCUCUAGCUUCUCUGGUUUUGCGUGGUUUCGAUCAAAGGAGGCAUUAAUUAUAAGGCUCUGAAAACUUGAACGUACAUAGAGUGAAGUUUGUCUAUUGAUGCCUUAAAAAUAAGAUCCUUUUCAUCUAAGAAAUGGAUCAUCAGUAUUACUCUCCACUAGUUUUGUAAAAACAACUACAUAUAUGUAAUCUGAAUUUCUAUGUCCCAGACUUUGUGGUUGUUGCAUA